UUAUACAGCGAAACUGCGAAUGGCUCAUUAAAUCAGUUAUCGUUUAUUUGAUAGUACCUUACUACUUGGAUAACCGUGGUAAUUCUAGAGCUAAUACAUGCUAAAAACCCCGACUCACGAAGGGGUGUAUUUAUUAGAUUAAAAACCAAUGCCCUUCGGGGCUCUUUGGUGAUUCAUAAUAACUUUUCGAAUCGCAUGGCCUUGCGCCGGCGAUGGUUCAUUCAAAUUUCUGCCCUAUCAACUUUCGAUGGCAGGGUCUUGGCCUGCCAUGGUUACAACGGGUAACGGAGGGUUAGGGCUCGACCCCGGAGAAGGAGCCUGAGAAACGGCUACUACAUCCAAGGAAGGCAGCAGGCGCGCAAAUUACCCAAUCCCGAUUCGGGGAGGUAGUGACAAUAAAUACUGAUACAGGGCUCUUUUGGGUCUUGUAAUUGGAAUGAGUACAAUUUAUUAUACAGCGAAACUGCGAAUGGCUCAUUAAAUCAGUUAUCGUUUAUUUGAUAGUACCUUACUACUUGGAUAACCGUGGUAAUUCUAGAGCUAAUACAUGCUAAAAACCCCGACUCACGAAGGGGUGUAUUUAUUAGAUUAAAAACCAAUGCCCUUCGGGGCUCUUUGGUGAUUCAUAAUAACUUUUCGAAUCGCAUGGCCUUGCGCCGGCGAUGGUUCAUUCAAAUUUCUGCCCUAUCAACUUUCGAUGGCAGGGUCUUGGCCUGCCAUGGUUACAACGGGUAACGGAGGGUUAGGGCUCGACCCCGGAGAAGGAGCCUGAGAAACGGCUACUACAUCCAAGGAAGGCAGCAGGCGCGCAAAUUACCCAAUCCCGAUUCGGGGAGGUAGUGACAAUAAAUACUGAUACAGGGCUCUUUUGGGUCUUGUAAUUGGAAUGAGUACAAUUUAAAUCCCUUAACGAGGAACAAUUGGAGGGCAAGUCUGGUGCAUUUUGUUGGUUUCUAGGACCGCCGUAAUGAUUAAUAGGGACAGUCGGGGGCAUCAGUAUUCAAUUGUCAGAGGUGAAAUUCUUGGAUUUAUUGAAGACUAACUACUGCGAAAGCAUUUGCCAAGGAUGUUUUCAUUAAUCAGGAACGAAAGUUAGGGGAUCGAAGACGAUCAGAUACCGUCGUAGUCUUAACCAUAAACUAUGCCGACUAGGGAUCGGACGGUGUUACUUAUUGACCCGUUCGGCACCUUACGAGAAAUCAAAGUC
This 1207-nucleotide ribosomal RNA is filed under the name Lulworthia sp. NIOCC 18V. RNAcentral describes it as "partial 18S ribosomal RNA". It matches the Rfam family "Eukaryotic small subunit ribosomal RNA", at positions 74 to 1105 of the family's 1831-position model. The record is from RNAcentral. Lineage: Eukaryota; Fungi; Ascomycota; Sordariomycetes; Lulworthiales; Lulworthiaceae.